This is a non-coding RNA of Triticum aestivum (bread wheat), 158 nucleotides long. NCBI's taxonomy places the organism in Eukaryota, Viridiplantae, Streptophyta, Magnoliopsida, Poales, Poaceae. The record is from Rfam.
AUUAUACUCCCUCUGUCCCAAAUUUCUUGUCUUAGAUUUGUCUAGAUACGGAUGUAUCUAAUACUAAAAUGUGACUUGAUACAUCCGUAUCUAGACAAUGAUACAUCCGUAUCUAGACAAAUCUAAGACACAAAUUUUUGGGACGGAGGGAGUACAAU